CCUGCUGGACGACAACUGACGCUGAGGCGCGAAAGCGUGGGGAGCAAACAGGAUUAGAUACCCUGGUAGUCCACGCCGUAAACGAUGGAUACUAGGUGUGGGGGGACUGACCCCUUCCGUGCCGCAGUUAACACAAUAAGUAUCCCACCUGGGGAGUACGAUCGCAAGAUUGAAACUCAAAGGAAUUGACGGGGGCCCGCACAAGCAGUGGAUUAUGUGGUUUAAUUCGACGCAACGCGAAGAACCUUACCGGGAUUUGACAUCCCACUAACGAAGUAGAGAUACAUUAGGUGCCCUUCGGGGAAAGUGGAGACAGGUGGUGCAUGGUUGUCGUCAGCUCGUGUCGUGAGAUGUUGGGUUAAGUCCCGCAACGAGCGCAACCCUUAUUGUUAGUUGCUACGCAAGAGCACUCUAGCGAGACUGCCGUUGACAAAACGGAGGAAGGCGGGGACGACGUCAAAUCAUCAUGCCCCUUAUGUCCCGGGCUACACACGUAAUACAAUGGCGGUCAACAGAGGGAAGCAAAGCCGCGAGGCAGAGCAAAACCCUAAAAGCCGUCUCAGUUCGGAUCGCAGUCUGCAACUCGACUGCGUGAAGUUGG
This 601-nucleotide ribosomal RNA is filed under the name uncultured bacterium. Its description in RNAcentral is "bacterial SSU rRNA". It matches the Rfam family "Bacterial small subunit ribosomal RNA", at positions 725 to 1329 of the family's 1533-position model. The record is from RNAcentral.